Molecule: non-coding RNA, 1495 nt
Organism: Lolium perenne
Lineage: Eukaryota; Viridiplantae; Streptophyta; Magnoliopsida; Poales; Poaceae
Source: RefSeq, a predicted model, not a curated record
AAGACAUUUUUAUGUAGUUUUAUCACCACACUUCCUCUGCUUUGGCUCUGCCACGGAUACAACCAUGGUUCAGGUGCACUGUAUUGUGGCGGCCACAGUGGUUGGGAUAUCUUUAUUUGUAGAAUGUUGAUACAAUUUAUUCUUGUUCUUUGAUGCUUUCAUUUUCGAUACUUCCCUUGCACAAAAAUAUGUAUUUCCUCCAGCACUAUAUUGCAGGGCUCCUGAUAUUGAUUUAUCCGCAUUGGAGACCUUGUUCUCCACUGUCGUUGCAAUCAAUGCAAAUGAGAAAUAAGAAGCAAAGACAUGCCUCAAGCCUCCAGUUGCUUACCUCCGACAACUACGGAUCCUCACGUCGUCUACGACCCCGCUCCGACCUCUAGUACCAUGGCUGCUCCAGCCCGACGCCUACGACCACCUCCAGGUUCCCCCGUCGACCAUGUCCUCAAUCCCCAUCCUCAAGGUCGUCACGGAACUUGGCCGCUGCUAGGCCGAGUGGCUGCCGUUGUAGAUCACGGUGUUCCCAAUUAGUUUGGCCACCGCUAGUCUGAGAGCAUUGGGAGCAGAGAAGUCUGAGCAGAUUUUGCAAGCGGUUAGGGAUCUUCUUCGUGAAAAGAGUUCAUUUAAAAACCAACCAGACUGGGUUACAGUUCUUGAUGGAUCUCAGGAAGGUGCAUAUGAAUGGGUUACCAUUAAUUAUCGGUUGCGGAAUUUGGGAAAGACCUACGCAGACACUGUUGGUGUGGUUGAUCUUGGCGGUGGAUCCGUCCAAAUGGCAUAAGCUAUCGCAGAGAAGGAUGCCGCAAAGGCUCCUAAACCAGCAGAUGGUGAAGAUGCAUAUGUGAAGAAGCUCUUCCUUAAGGUAACGACAUAUUAUCUUUAUGUCCACAGGAACUGAAUCAAGUUUUUACAGAUGCGGGAGAUUCCUUGAGGAGUUGAUGCACAAGGUCUUCUACAGAGCGAAAAGAAGAGUAUACGAUGACCUACAGGCCUACAGAACUCAUUUUGGGAUUCUUCGACAAACUUGGGGAUCCCAGAGCAAGCACAGUCCCUGCUGCAGCCCAAGAACAUCCUGCAAGUGGCAACCCAGCUGAUCCGGUCCAGUCUCCGUAGUCUCAAGCUGCAAUUUCUCCAUCAGGACAAAAUUGCUAAUCCGUUGAACUUGUUCACUCAGAUCUGAUGGUAGGGUGCUGAUAUUGGAGGAACAAGCAAGCGAAUCGGGAACAAAUGGGGAAAAUUGAGAACCCUGUUGGUCAGACAAGUAAGAUGGAAACCAGUUAGAUGAACCAUGUUAGAUGAACCUUGUUGCGUAUUUUAUCUAAUGGUUUCAAACCAUGUUGUUCAUGAUGUGGAGAUGAACAUUGUUGGUCAUGGAAGUUAGAUGCCUGGAUUGUGAAUCCUUGAAUGUUUCAAAAUGUUGGUUUCAAACCUAGAUUGCUUGGAAAUAUUGGUUUUAAACAUUGCUUGACUUCUUGAGUGUGAUGUAUGCUUGAUUGUA